Nyctereutes procyonoides (raccoon dog) is the source of this 4184-nucleotide long non-coding RNA. RefSeq lists it as uncharacterized. Lineage: Eukaryota; Metazoa; Chordata; Mammalia; Carnivora; Canidae. The transcript is spliced from 3 exons. The record is from RefSeq and is a predicted model, not a curated record.
GCCACUGAGAGAAGAAUAUAAGUUAAACCUCUGUAGUGACCAUGUGGAAGUCCUGACCUUGCUUGCAGACUUGACCUCUGGAUAUGACAAGGUGGCUUCAAUACAGAUCUACCAAUUAAUCCUGGAAACUAAAAACCAAAAACCAAAAAAAUCAAAAAAACAACUUCACAGCAAGAAAGAUACAGAAUAUUUCCUGAGAAGUCAGAAGAACCCAAUGUAUUCUGGUGGGCAAAGGAAAAUAGGGUGAAUGUUUACCGUUACUUGGGGGGAGUGAGCUCAUGGAAAGAAGUGCUGAAUCAGCGAAUAGAGUGAAGGAACAAUCAAGAGGAGAUGGCUGCUGCUGAUGUGACUAUCUAGGUCAUUAUCUUUCUUCCUCCUGCAAAUGCUGCAUGGCACUAAGCUUACAGGAUCUAGAAGCAAACUACAAAAUAAGAAGAAAUUCGCUCUGAAGACUAUGAAGAAACACUAGGCUGAUCUUACAAGUUUCUGAAAUAUAUUCUGUAAAAACUCCACUGAUUUUAUGAAUCUCUGGCAAAAACAACCAGACCAGGACAAAGUUCAACAGAUAACUGGUUAGUGUUUAGAAGUGUCUAUGUCCACCAAGAACAAGGAGCCACAAAUGGCACUAAUGCCAUGCUUCAGGUAAAUCUGUUAUAGUUUAGUCUUUGAUAGUCUCUGCAAAUGAUCUACCACUGUUCUGUAUCAGUAAGCUGUAUGUUUUACUAACAAAUGGGAAAAAUAAAAUAUUUCAUGUUUCUACAGCUAACAACUUAGUAAAACCUACUCAGAGUACAUACUUCUUUAUGUACCCAUAUGAACAUACAAUGCUAUGGAAUGUAAAGAAGUAUGUAUUUUUGGUAGGCAAUAAACUGCCAGGAGGGAACUACACUGCAGCUAAAAUAAGCCUUUGCUUCUUUCUAUGUGAAUGACUAUCAUACGGUAAAUUAACCUAAUAUCUAAGAAAUGACCUUUGGCGAUACACCACAAAAAUGUACCUCCUACUUUUAGAUGGAAACUAAAUGCUGCAAAGAUUUCUACUUUGUGAAGAGAAAAAAGUUUAACUAAGGAGAUUAAAUAUCAAAAUUAUCAUGAAACUCUUUUUAAAUCUUUUAAGUUUAAAAUAUACUAUUGUUUUACAUUUUUAAAUUAAGUACUUACAUGACUACAAUUUGAAUACAGAAAAGAAGCUAGUAUUACCAGAACAAAAGAGGAAGGGAUACACAUGACCUAUUUUCUGUCUCUACAAUUGGAUCUUAAUUGAAAUAUAUCAUAUUAGUAGGAUCAACUGAUUUGUUAAGAUUAAAAUAUAACAAAAACUGAUAUCAUUACAUUUUAACAAUUGUUCUUCAUAGUUUAAUAAAUUUAUAGUCUGCUAACAGAAGAAUUUCUGAAGCAAGUUUUGUUUGUUGUUUUAGGCUUUCUGUUUUGAAAGCUAUCAUAGUUGUAAUUCGAAAAGACUAUCUUUUAAGUAACAUUCUACUCUUCAAAAAUAAAAAGUGGUGUUGUCUUCAAGUUAAAUAGGUCCUUAGCCCAGUCUUUGUUUUAAAUGCUGUUAGUACUUAAAGAUUUAUGCAUGAAAAAUGACAAAAUUCUGGGCCUCAGUUGUAGGUUAACAGGGCACAUUGCUAACAGAUUGCCAAAUAUUUAAAAGAAAUUAGUUUAUUAUAUUAUCCUUGAAUUUGCUUUCUCCAAAGCAGUACAUAAAAUGAAAAUGCUAUAGUUAAGAAAUCAAUUUACACAGAAUAAUCAUCUUUCACUGGUACUGGGCAACAGCAAUUCAAUUUUGACAAACAUGAUAGGCCCACCCACUAUUUGUAGUGUGUUGGAGAUACCAAAAUACUUUUUUUAUAUCUUACACAAAAUUUAUUUUGUAUAAUAUAUACUUAAUAAAACUCAUAAAUAAUAAAGCUACUGGCAAUACUUUACAAGCAGUACCUGUUUCAAGCUACUAUGACAGAUUCAGAAAAAAAGAAAUACUAAUAUUCAUAUACUCUAAUCAUUCCUUAUUACAAGUAUUAUUUCAACUGUAAUAUUCAGACAUGUAUAAAGAGCAUAAUGAUAUUUGAAAAUUUUUAUGUGUCCCAAGUUGAAGAGAAUGUCCAUAAGGUUAACAACUAUGGUUAUCACUGAAAAUAUGUAUCUCAAAAUUACAGGUUCCCCUACAAAACAACUCAAAAGGCAUUACUAUACUCAUGUUUUAUAACAUUAUAAAAUUAUAGAACAUUGUAAAAUUGUAGAACAAUUAUAUUCAUUAUUUUAUAGGCACAAUAAAAAUGUUUAAUAAUUACUUUAAAACAUCCUGGUGACAAAGAAUCUCACUGCUAUAAUGUUAAGAGUACAUAAUCCUCAGAAAAUGAAAUGACAACAUCUGUUAUUCAUUUUAAGAGGCAAAAUUAUAUACUGAUUCUAGUGCCUACAAGUUAAAUGAACAUAUCUAAGUAUUUUCAAUCAUUCUAAAAUGUCACAUCCAUCACUUAGAUCAGCUGUUCAUUUUUAACUGAGUACAUAGUAAACUCUGGGCAUCUGCUGACACUGGUGUAACUCAAACAUUUCAACUGUCUCUCUGACAGGGAUAACAGAUGCUGACAUUAUCAAAUGCUGUACUAUUUUUUUUCCAUGGCCUCUCCUUGCCCCGAUAUGGCCAGUAUAUGAAACUGAACUGUCAUCCAAAAGCACACUUGAGCAACUGGAUCUGCUAAACAGCUCCCAUAUAACUAGUAAAAAUAGAAGCCAGUUUUAUUGCUAUCUUCAGCACUUAAGUCCAGGCAAUUUAACACCUGUUUCAUUUCUAUUAGAAUAAAUGGAAAGAAUUGUAGUUACAUUAAUUUCACCAGCAGCAUACUUACCAACCAACAGAUGCAGAAUAUACUUAAUAUGAGAACUGUCUGAAUAUUGCCUAAAUUACUGUUGAGCUUCUCCUCAUUUACUUCAAAACAAUAACUUGUUUCUUUAUUUUUCAAAGUUCUUACUUUAUAGGCAAACUGUAAUAUCUCAAACUUUUAUUUUUGCAAAAUAUCUUUAUAUUUCAAAAGAUAUCCCUUCCCUGAUACUGAAACACAACACUAAAACCACAUUAUAACAAAAAUUUGCUGUACUUACUUUUAAAAUAUUACUCAUGUAGAUUUUAAUACUCAAAUUCACUGAUUAUAGCUAUGCACCACAAGUCCAUGCAUUAUUAAGCUGAUAAUAGAAGGGACUGGGCAAUCUGUACCCAAAAUGAUGGAGAAUUCAGUCAGGGAAAUAGACCUUAAAAAAAGGUUAAUAUACUAACCUAUGAUUAGUAACACUACAUUAGCAAAAACAAAGAAAAAAGCUGGUAUGUGUGGUAGUUCCUUUCAACAGAAGUCCAAGCAAUACACCAAAUAUACAUGUGAUCUAUUUAUAAACCAAAGGGCAAAGGUACUUUCUUAAGGCCACUCAUAUUCCUCCACCCCCUCCCUGUCAGCAGUUUGCUAUCAGUCCUCAAAUAUAAUACUAAAUAAAGGAGCAGUGGGAAGAAAGGUAGCACUACCAGUAAGUACUCUUCCCUAACCUAUUAGCAUACUUGCUUGGUUCACCACCUAACGAUAAAUACAAAAUAGUACAUAGAAAUACAUUAAGGUCUGUUUGUUCCUUUAAAUGCUGGUUUUAAAACAGAUUAUUAUCUACAUUUAAAAAUUAUGCAAAGGUAUACAUUGAUAAUUCCUUAAUGCGACAACAAAAUGUUAAUGUGCACAGACUUCUACUCUGUUCAAGUGGGAAAUAGUAGGAAAAGUGUCUCAAAAUAGAAAAGUUUAUAUGUAAUGACUAAAGAGUACUGUCUCUAAUAUUUGUAGAAAAUCCAUAACCAUAACUGUACAAAUAAAGAGCAUUUCAAUUCUUUUGUAUCCCAAACUAGCAGCACUGCAAUGCUUUGCUAGAGCUGGUAAAAUGGAACCAAAUCGCCUCUUCAAUGGAUUUGGUCCCCUUCAACCAGCUGUAGCUAUGCAUUGAUUACUACAGGACAGCCAACGUUUCCAUUUAUGAAUUUCAUCACAUGUUGACUAAUUUCAGUUUAUUUAAAUUAUUCAGGCUGUGGUUUAAAUCAAAUAAUUUGUUACUGUUAAGUCUCCUUGGGAGAACCAUAGUGGUUAACAAUGUUUAUAAAAGGUUUUAUGAAAAAUGUGUAGAUGACUUAAGGAUUGCAAAUAAAAUAUUUUUACUUA